AUGGAUGGUCAUAGUGCUAGCUUGGAGGAGAUAGAAGAAUAUCACAUGAUGGUUAGUCAGAUGUUUGCAAGCGAGAACCAAGGUUACGAGCACUACAACAGAUAUGCAAGAGCAAAAGGUUUUAGUGUCAGAUUGGAUGACAAGGAGUACGUGAAGGGCACCAGAGAGGUGAAAGCAAGACGUUUCUGCUGCUCUAAAGAAGGGCACCGAUUGGAGAAGUACUUUCAAGCGACUGACCAAAAAAGGGAGCCACGGGCGCUGACCCGUUGUGGUUGCAAAGCUAUGCUUGAGAUCCAACAUGAUGCAGGCAGGGGUCAGUGGUUUGUUAAGAAGUUUGUUGAUGUCCAUAACCACCCGCUAGCCGACCCGGACCAAUCUGCUUUUCUACGGUCUCACCGUCGGAUGAACGAUGCUCACAAGGCUGAUGCAGUGGAAUACGGACUUGGUGGUCUCCGUACGUUCCAAAUCAUGAAUGUGGCUGAGAAACAGCAUGGUGGCUAUCCUCAUGUUGGGUAUAUUUCCCGAGACCUGUACAAUUUCUUCGCCAGGUACAAGAAAAAAAGAAUCUUAGGCAGGGAUGCUGACUUUGUGCUGAACCAUAUGAGAGUACAGGAAGAACGAGAUGCUGAGUUUUUCUUCAAAUACACCACGGAUGAUGAAGGACAUCUUCGAAAUUUAUUCUGGGCAGAUUCACAGUCUCAGAUUGAUUAUGAAGCAUUCAGAGAUGUAGUUGUGUUUGACAGCACUUAUCGGGUCAACCGCUACAAUCUCGCUUUUGUUGCAUUUGUUGGACUGAACCAUCAUCGUAGUACUGUUGUUUUCGGGAUUGGUGUUGUUUCAGAUGAGACCCACAAGUCAUACGAGUGGCUACUUCAGACCUUUGUAGAGGCGAUGGGUCAUAAGGAGCCCAUAUCUGUUAUCACAGAUGGAGACUCGGCAAUGAGAAAAGCAAUUAGGAAGAUUUUGCCAAGGACAGACCAUCGGCUAUGCAGUUGGCACAUUGAGCAGAACAUGAUACGCCACCUGCGUAAUCCAAUGCUUGAUGACUUCAGAAAACUCAUAUACUGUCGAAUGGGAGUUUACCAGUUUGAGAAAUCAUGGGCUGAGUUCAAGGCGAACUAUUAG
RNAcentral lists this ribosomal RNA (1125 nucleotides) under Triticum aestivum (bread wheat). Its description in RNAcentral is "partial small subunit ribosomal RNA". The record is from RNAcentral. Lineage: Eukaryota; Viridiplantae; Streptophyta; Magnoliopsida; Poales; Poaceae.